AAGCUGGGGUGAGGGCGCGUAGGUCAGGCCCGGAGUGGUCCCCCCCUCCCCGACACCUACGGAGUAGGUAUGAACCGGGUCGUCCCCUAUAUUAGCUUAAAAAUGGUCUAGUCUUAUCUCUACCAGUCAAAAAAUUUUAGUCUUACCUUUGUAACCACACACGUUCAGCUAGUCUUAUUAUCUAGUAUUCUCGUCAAGUUACGCCACGUAAUGUGAGAGUAUAAUUUGUUGAGUAGAUAGGCUUGCAUAAUGUUAUGCUAGUUGAUAUAUGAUGAUAUUUGUGUAUUGGUAUCAAAUAAAUAUGUCUUUUGUUUUAAUUAUGUGGCCAUUAUCCGGACAAAGUUGGGUGACCUUGAAUAAGAAAACCUUCUGCUGCAGCCUUAGAUUCUCUUGAGUUUAUGGUAGCAAAUAGAUAGUGCUGCGGUGACACCUUUUGAGCUUUUGACUGCAAGUAGUCAUUGAAGUCGAGAAAAGUUAAGCAACUGAUCAGUUAACUUUAGUCUUACCUUGUACUUCUCUUUUUGAGAUUUUUCUAUUAGUAUUAUUUAUAAAUAAGCCAUCAAGUACUUUGCUGGUGGUAUAUUAGCUUAAAAAUGAGGGAUGGCCUUGGCUCAGCGGUGAGCUUGCUUACCGUGGUGUGCCAGGGUCGGGGGUUCGAAACGCCCCUCCAGCGAAGCUGGGGUGAGGGCGCGUAGGUCAGGCCCGGAGUGGUCCCCCCCUCCCCGACACCUACGGAGUAGGUAUGAACCGGGUCGUCCCCUAUAUUAGCUUAAAAAUGGUCUAGUCUUAUCUCUACCAGUCAAAAAAUUUUAGUCUUACCUUUGUAACCACACACGUUCAGCUAGUCUUAUUAUCUAGUAUUCUCGUCAAGUUACGCCACGUAAUGUGAGAGUAUAAUUUGUUGAGUAGAUAGGCUUGCAUAAUGUUAUGCUAGUUGAUAUAUGAUGAUAUUUGUGU
RNAcentral lists this long non-coding RNA (957 nucleotides) under Capsicum annuum. RNAcentral describes it as "long non-coding RNA (CANN_LNC004929)". The record is from RNAcentral. Lineage: Eukaryota; Viridiplantae; Streptophyta; Magnoliopsida; Solanales; Solanaceae.